Molecule: ribosomal RNA, 497 nt
Filed under: uncultured bacterium
Lineage: Bacteria
Description: partial 16S ribosomal RNA
Rfam family: Bacterial small subunit ribosomal RNA
Source: RNAcentral
GACGAACGCUGGCGGCGUGCCUAAUACAUGCAAGUUGAGCGCUGAAGGUUGGUACUUGUACCAACUGGAUGAGCAGCGGACGGGUGAGUAACGCGUGGGGAAUCUGCCUUUGAGCGGGGGACAACAUUUGGAAACGAAUGCUAAUACCGCAUAAAAACUUUAAACACAAGUUUUAAGUUUGAAAGAUGCAAUUGCAUCACUCAAAGAUGAUCCCGCGUUGUAUUAGCUAGUUGGUGAGGUAAAGGCUCACCAAGGCGAUGAUACAUAGCCGACCUGAGAGGGUGAUCGGCCACAUUGGGACUGAGACACGGCCCAAACUCCUACGGGAGGCAGCAGUAGGGAAUCUUCGGCAAUGGACGAAAGUCUGACCGAGCAACGCCGCGUGAGUGAAGAAGGUUUUCGGAUCGUAAAACUCUGUUGGAAGAGAAGAACGUUGGUGAGAGUGGAAAGCUCAUCAAGUGACGGUAACUACCCAGAAAGGGACGGCUAACUACGUG